GGAUGUGAAGGCGAUCUGGCUGCGACAUCUGUCACCCCAUUGAUCGCCAGGGUUGAUUCGGCUGAUCUGGCUGGCUAGGCGGGUGUCCCCUUCCUCCCUCACAGCUCCAUGUGCGUCCCUCCCGAAGCUGCGCGCUCGGUCGAAGAGGACGACCUUCCCCGAUAGAGGAGGACCGGUCUUCGGUCAAGGGUAUACGAGUAGCUGCGCUCCCCUGCUAGAACCUCCAAACAAGCUCUCAAGGUUCUUAAUUCUACUUGAGGUUAACAACCACAAAUAGAUAAAAUUAGUUUUUAUUAUGAUAAAUUUAAAAAAAAA
Ictidomys tridecemlineatus (thirteen-lined ground squirrel) is the source of this 315-nucleotide unclassified non-coding RNA. Its record names the gene 7SK. It matches the Rfam family "7SK RNA". Rfam says of the family: 7SK was discovered as an abundant small nuclear RNA in the mid-70s but a possible function has only recently been suggested. Two independent studies have found that 7SK RNA binds the CDK9/cyclin T complex (known as elongation factor P-TEFb). P-TEFb activates transcription by phosphorylating the C-terminal domain of RNA polymerase II. NCBI's taxonomy places the organism in Eukaryota, Metazoa, Chordata, Mammalia, Rodentia, Sciuridae. The record is from Ensembl.